GUGAGGAAUAUUGGUCAAUGGACGGAAGUCUGAACCAGCCAUGCCGCGUGAAGGAUGAAGGCGUUCUGCGUUGUAAACUUCUUUUAUCAGAGAAGAAACCACUGAUUUCUAUUAGUGUUGACGGUAUCUGAUGAAUAAGCACCGGCUAACUCCGUGCCAGCAGCCGCGGUAAUACGGAGGGUGCAAGCGUUAUCCGGAUUUACUGGGUUUAAAGGGUGUGUAGGCGGGCUAUUAAGUCAGGGGUGAAAUCCCGGGGCGCAACCUCGGAACUGCCUUUGAUACUAUUAGUCUUGAAUUAUGUUGAGGUUGGCGGAAUAUAACAUGUAGCGGUGAAAUGCAUAGAUAUGUUAUAGAACACCGAUUGCGAAGGCAGCUGGCUAAACAUAUAUUGACGCUGAGGCACGAAAGCGUGGGUAGCGAACAGGAUUAGAUACCCUAGUAGUCC
This 445-nucleotide ribosomal RNA is filed under the name uncultured bacterium. Its description in RNAcentral is "partial 16S ribosomal RNA". It matches the Rfam family "Bacterial small subunit ribosomal RNA", at positions 354 to 796 of the family's 1533-position model. The record is from RNAcentral.